ACGCUCGACACCUACGGGGNGAGCAGUGGGGAAUAUUGCACAAUGGGGGAAACCCUGAUGCAGCGACGCCGCGUGAGCGAAGAAGUAUCUCGGUAUGUAAAGCUCUAUCAGCAGGGAAGAAGAUGACGGUACCUGACUAAGAAGCACCGGCUAAAUACGUGCCAGCAGCCGGGUAAUCUGAGCGGGCUGGCAAGGC
Molecule: ribosomal RNA, 196 nt
Filed under: uncultured bacterium
Lineage: Bacteria
Description: partial 16S ribosomal RNA
Rfam family: Bacterial small subunit ribosomal RNA
Source: RNAcentral